Molecule: long non-coding RNA, 1974 nt
Filed under: Gallus gallus (chicken)
Lineage: Eukaryota; Metazoa; Chordata; Aves; Galliformes; Phasianidae
Description: long non-coding RNA NONGGAT006851
Source: RNAcentral
UGGAGUUGUUGCAUUGCUUUGUGGUUGGAGUUGGUGGUUGCUUUGCGAUUGGAGUUGUUGCGUUGCUUUGCGUUUGGAGCUGCUGGUUAGACUUUGUGCCAGUUCUGGGCCUCGAUCAGCAGUAUUUAUGGCUGUGAAUGGGCUAGCGACUGGGCUGCUGCCUGCCGCCUGGCUCUUCUGGAAGUCUACCAAGACACCUACCGCUUCUUGGAAGCUGCUAUGCUGCCUUCCUCUUCUUCUCAUCUACUACUCUGCCUGCUUCUUCCUGGAAACUACUACUCUGCCUGUCUCUUCCUGGAAACUCCUACACUGCCUGGCUCUUGCGAUCUACUACUCUCUCUGCCUCCUUUUCGGAAUCCACUGCGCUGCCUGCCUCCUUUUCGCACUAUACUGUGCUGUCUGCCUCUUUCUUGGACUCUUCUAUGCUGCCUGCCUCUCUUUCUGCAUCUACUACUCCACCUGCCUCUUCCUGCAAUCCACUACGCCGCCUGCCUCCUUUUGGAAACUCCUCCUCAGCUUGCUGCUUCUUUGGAAUACGCUGCGCCACCUGCGUCUGCUCUGCAAUAUCCUACGCCGCCUGCGUCUGCUUUUCAAUACGCUAUACCGUCUGCGGUUGCUGUUCAAUAUUCUACGCCACCUCUCUCUUCUUUGGAAUAUUGUACAUCACCUACCUCUGCUCUGGAAGAUACUACACCACCUCUCCCUUAUAUGGAAUAUGCUAUGCCACCUGCCAUUGGUAUGGAAAAUAUUAUGCUGCCUGACACUUCUGUGGUACAUCCUAAGCUGCCUGCGCCUGCUUCGGUGCAUCCUGCGUCACCUGCCACUGCUACGCAAGAUCCUACGGCACCUGCCACUUCUACAGAGGAUCCUAAGGCACCUGCCACUGCUAUGGACUCUACGACACCACCUGCCUCUUGUAUGGACCAUACUACGCCACCUGGGUCUUCUGUGGAAUAUAACACGCCGCCUGCCUCCUUUGGCAAUAUACCACGGAACCUGGCUCUUUUUAGAAUAUACUGCUCCACCUGGCUCCCUUUGGGCCAUACCACUCUGCCUGGCUCACUUCGGAACCUACCACACCGCCUGGCUCACAGUGGCAUACACUAUGCCGGCUGGCACUGCUUGGAACGUACCACAGCACCUGGCUGUCUUUGGAAUGUACCUUGCUACCUGGCUUUCCUCAGAAUACACCGUGCUGCCGGGCUUUCUUUGGAUGAGAGUGCACAGCCUGGCUCUGUUUGGACUAGAGUAUGCUUGCUGCCUGGCUCUCACUCAAAUAGAGUACACUGCCUGACUUGUUCCAUUAAAUAAAUACUGUCUUUUUGUUUCUAUAACUGUCCUGCAUUUUCUUUGUUGUAUCGUAGAAUGGCUUAGUCUGGAAUGGACCUCAAGGGUCAUCAAGUUCCAAUUCCCCUGCCACUGGCAGGUACUCCAGCUGAGGCCUCUCGAGGGCAGAGUAGAGGCGGACAAUCACCUCCCUCACCCUGCUGGCCAGCCCUCCUCUGAUGCAGCCCAGGAUACCGAGGGCCUUCUGGGCUGCAAGCACACACUGCUGGCUCAGGAAAUUUUUUCACCAACCAGGACCCUUCAGUCCUUCUCAGCAGGCCUACUCUCUAGGAAUUCUUUUGCCAGUUUGUAUAUGUAUCUGGGAUUACCUCUACCUGCAGCGUCUGAUGCACGGGCUCAGAUGUGAACGAUCCAAAGCAUUUAGUACAUGUUCUCACAUCACUUCUAGACCUUCACGAGUUUUCUUUUUCUAGCUUUCCCAUCUGCCCCUACCACUUUCCCAUCCACCUUUCCAUGUCAACAGAACAUUCUACAAACACUCUUCAACAGUUCCUGCGGGCGUUUAUCCAAUCAGAGCCGCGAGCCCUUCUUUCUCCCCCUAGAGGUGGCCUUGGUUCUCGUGCUGUUCAUCUUGCUCCACAGCUGCUGCUCUGAACAGUUUCUCUUGUAUUUCCACACCUACCCAAG